Molecule: ribosomal RNA, 350 nt
Filed under: uncultured bacterium
Lineage: Bacteria
Description: bacterial SSU rRNA
Rfam family: Bacterial small subunit ribosomal RNA
Source: RNAcentral
CCACGGUUCCUUCGGGAACAGGGGUCAAAGGUAGCCUCUGCAUGCAAGCUACACGAGAUGGGCCCGCGUACCAUUAGCUAGUUGGUAGGGUAACGGCUACGGCAAAGAUGGUUAGCUGGUCUGAGAGGAUGAUCAGCCACACUGAAAGACACGGUCCAGACUCCUACGGGAGGCAGCAGUGGGGAAUAUGCGUGGGCGAAAGCCUGACGCAGCAACGCCGCGUGAGUGAUGAAGGCUUGUCGUAAAGCUCUGUCGGAGGGAACGAAUGCUCUCGAGGUUAAAGCGGGAAGUGACGGUACCCUCAAAGGAAGCACCGGCUAACUCUGUCCACGCGGUAAUACAAAAGGUGC